AGCGAACGCUGGCGGCAGGCCUAACACAUGCAAGUCGAACGGACCCUUCGGGGUUAGUGGCGGACGGGUGAGUAACACGUGGGAACGUGCCUUUAGGUUCGGAAUAGCUCCUGGAAACGGGUGGUAAUGCCGAAUGUGCCCUUCGGGGGAAAGAUUUAUCGCCUUUAGAGCGGCCCGCGUCUGAUUAGCUAGUUGGUGAGGUAACGGCUCACCAAGGCGACGAUCAGUAGCUGGUCUGAGAGGAUGACCAGCCACACUGGGACUGAGACACGGCCCAGACUCCUACGGGAGGCAGCAGUGGGGAAUCUUGCGCAAUGGGCGAAAGCCUGACGCAGCCAUGCCGCGUGAAUGAUGAAGGUCUUAGGAUUGUAAAAUUCUUUCACCGGGGACGAUAAUGACGGUACCCGGGGAAGAAGCCCCGGCUAACUUCGUG
Molecule: ribosomal RNA, 433 nt
Filed under: uncultured bacterium
Lineage: Bacteria
Description: partial 16S ribosomal RNA
Rfam family: Bacterial small subunit ribosomal RNA
Source: RNAcentral